AUGAACGCUGGCGGCGUGCUUAACACAUGCAAGUCGAACGCUGAAGCCCAGCUUGCUGGGUGGAUUAGUGGCGAACGGGUGAGUAACACGUGAGUAACCUGCCCUUAACUCUGGGAUAAGCCUGGGAAACUGGGUCUAAUACCGGAUAGGAGCGUCCACCGCAUGGUGGGUGUUGGAAAGAUUUAUCGGUUUUGGAUGGACUCGCGGCCUAUCAGCUUGUUGGUGAGGUAAUGGCUCACCAAGGCGACGACGGGUAGCCGGCCUGAGAGGGUGACCGGCCACACUGGGACUGAGACACGGCCCAGACUCCUACGGGAGGCAGCAGUGGGGAAUAUUGCACAAUGGGCGAAAGCCUGAUGCAGCGACGCCGCGUGAGGGAUGACGGCCUUCGGGUUGUAAACCUCUUUCAGUAGGGAAGAAGCGAAAGUGACGGUACCUGCAGAAGAAGCACCGGCUAACUACGUG
This 465-nucleotide ribosomal RNA is filed under the name uncultured bacterium. RNAcentral describes it as "partial 16S ribosomal RNA". It matches the Rfam family "Bacterial small subunit ribosomal RNA", at positions 29 to 507 of the family's 1533-position model. The record is from RNAcentral.